RNAcentral lists this ribosomal RNA (468 nucleotides) under uncultured bacterium. Its description in RNAcentral is "partial 16S ribosomal RNA". It matches the Rfam family "Bacterial small subunit ribosomal RNA", at positions 28 to 507 of the family's 1533-position model. The record is from RNAcentral.
GACGAACGCUGGCGGCGUGCUUAACACAUGCAAGUCGAACGGAAAGGCCCUGCUUUUGUGGGGUGCUCGAGUGGCGAACGGGUGAGUAACACGUGAGUAACCUGCCCUUGACUUUGGGAUAACUUCAGGAAACUGGGGCUAAUACCGGAUAGGAGCUCCUGCUGCAUGGUGGGGGUUGGAAAGUUUCGGCGGUUGGGGAUGGACUCGCGGCUUAUCAGCUUGUUGGUGUGGUAGUGGCUUACCAAGGCUUUGACGGGUAGCCGGCCUGAGAGGGUGACCGGCCACAUUGGGACUGAGAUACGGCCCAGAAUCCUACGGGAGGCAGCAGUGGGGAAUAUUGCACAAUGGGCGGAAGCCUGAUGCAGCAGCGCCGCGUGCGGGAUGACGGCCUUCGGGUUGUAAACCGCUUUCGCCUGUGACGAAGCGUGAGUGACGGUAAUGGGUAAAGAAGCACCGGCUAACUACGUG